This 445-nucleotide ribosomal RNA is filed under the name uncultured bacterium. Its description in RNAcentral is "partial 16S ribosomal RNA". It matches the Rfam family "Bacterial small subunit ribosomal RNA", at positions 354 to 796 of the family's 1533-position model. The record is from RNAcentral.
GUGAGGAAUAUUGGUCAAUGGGCGGGAGCCUGAACCAGCCAAGUCGCGUGAAGGAAGAAGGAUCUAUGGUUCGUAAACUUCUUUUGCAGGGGAAUAAAGUGCAGGACGUGUCCUGUUUUGUAUGUACCCUGAGAAUAAGGAUCGGCUAACUCCGUGCCAGCAGCCGCGGUAAUACGGAGGAUCCGAGCGUUAUCCGGAUUUAUUUGGUUUAAAGGGUGCGUAGGUGGUUUGAUAAGUCAGCGGUGAAAGUUUGCAGCUUAACUGUAAAAAUGCCGUUGAAACUGUCGGACUUGAGUGUAAAUGAGGUAGGCGGAAUGCGUGGUGUAGCGGUGAAAUGCAUAGAUAUCACGCAGAACUCCGAUUGCGAAGGCAGCUUACUAAGCUACAACUGACACUGAAGCACGAAAGCGUGGGGAUCAAACAGGAUUAGAAACCCGAGUAGUCC